Molecule: ribosomal RNA, 119 nt
Filed under: Betta splendens (Siamese fighting fish)
Lineage: Eukaryota; Metazoa; Chordata; Actinopteri; Anabantiformes; Osphronemidae
Source: RNAcentral
GCUUACGGCCAUACCACCCUCAGCACGCCCGAUCUCAUCUGAUCUCGGAAGCUAAUUAGUGUCGGGCCUGGUUAGAACUUGGAUGGGGGAUCGCCUGGAAAUACCAGGUUCUGUAAGCU